Long non-coding RNA from Phyllopteryx taeniolatus (common seadragon), 1665 nucleotides. RefSeq lists it as uncharacterized. The record is from RefSeq and is a predicted model, not a curated record. The transcript is spliced from 3 exons. NCBI's taxonomy places the organism in Eukaryota, Metazoa, Chordata, Actinopteri, Syngnathiformes, Syngnathidae.
UUGUCCUGGAUUCCUUUGUGACCUCCUGGAUGACUCAUCGCUGUGCUCUUGGGGUAAUUUUUGUAGGCCUGUCACUCCUUGAAGGUUCCAUAUUUUCUACAUUUGUGGUUAAUGUCUCUUACUGUAGGUUGCUGGAGUACUAAAGCUUUACAAAUGGCGUUAUAAACCUUUUCCAAACUGAUAAAUCUGAUUACUGUCAUGAGCUGCCCUGCAGUUCCAUUGUUGGAGCCUGGGUGGCGCUCUCUCCCCUCCCCUAUCUCUUUCAAGCACCUUCCUCAGCCGCACACCUGUCAGCAAUCAACCCUCAUUACCACCUGCAUUUAAGCCUGCCUGAUCCCGGAAAACCUUGCCAGAGUAUUGCAGCUCCUCCAAUGGUACCACGGCUCACUUGUCUCAAACCCUUCGCUAUUAAAUUGGACCUCCUAACAAAGCAGUCAAGAGCAGCCAUCAUCCAACCUGUUCCAGUUAUUUCUACAAUCCUCGAAAAGGGUUCAUAGAUUUCAUCUGAUCCAAUGGGAUUUUGUCUGAGAAAUGCUUAGGGUGACUACGGGAGAAAGUGUGCUUUCCUCAUGUCACACGAUCCAUCACAACUCUCCUCGCGGGUGGAUCAGUGCAGGUUACGGUUGCGCUCCCAAAGCAAAGUUGUGCGAACUUGAUGUAUGUGCUGUCGACUGGCAGUUAAUGAAACAACAGCCAGAGCAGCCUGCUUGUCUCUUUGCUUUCUCUUCAUCUUGAGGAAUUCCACCUUCCUAUGUGUGCAAAAAUUAAAAAUGUCUCAGCAGAGUAAUGAACGCUUAAAAUUGUCUUUUGAAAGUAUAUACAGUAUAUACAGGUAUAUAUGAACACACAUGCACAUGUAUUGUGCCUGUUCCCCAGUGCACAAGUUGUCUUACGAACUAAUAUGAGACUAAACAAAGGGAGCCCCUGGAUUGGGAGGGUGGGUUUUAAUUGGCUGCUAGGCAAGGGAAGCACUGUUGAUGCCACACGUCUUCCACUUGUCUCUCCUCUCCCUCCACCCCUGAGACCAAUAGAUAACCACGUAUAUGGACAGAGACAGAUUGAGAGUUGCAGUAACACAAUUCAUAUGAAGGGCUGGGAGGAAGUGAGCACUGGAAGACUCUUAGUUGUUGGAUCCAACAAUGAGAAUUGGAUGAAUAGAAGACUUAUUCACUAAUUAAUUCAAAGCAGGUGCAAAGAAGUGAAUACACGUUAUGUUUUGUUUUUACCAGGAAACGGAUCACAGCUAUUUACUGCAACUGUUAUAAAAUUUUUGUUGAUAGUAUUAGCAUCUUUAUGUCAUGAUCAACUCUGAGUUGUCUUUUAUUUUUAGUCACUUGGCUCUUCCUUGUGUUUUUUCUUUGUUUUUUCUAGGCAGCACAGGAGGGAAUUAAUUAAGGCGGCAUGCACUUGGGGGCUCCCAGUCUUAAAUUCUGCAGCCAUUCUAGGAAGAUGCCAGAUUGCUUUGGGUUUUUUGCUUGUUUUAACUUUGUUGAUCACUUGUUUUCCCUGCUUGUUAGUAACAUCUAUUAGUCUUUUAGUCUUCCAUUUUUCCUACUCGUCAUUACCAUCGUAUGUUUAUUCGUCAUUUAUUUUGUAUUAAUUCAUUAAUUUUGCCUUCCCGAUGGUAGCGCUUUAUAUUACCAAUGUAUCUGUAUUUUUGUAACU